CAGUAGCCGCGGUAAUACGGAGGGGGCUAGCGUUGUUCGGAAUUACUGGGCGUAAAGCGCACGUAGGCGGCUUGGUAAGUUAGAGGUGAAAGCCUGGAGCUCAACCCCAGAAUUGCCUUUAAGACUGCCGAGCUAGCAGGUGAGAGAGGUAAGUGGAAUUCCGAGUGUAGAGGUGAAAUUCGUAGAUAUUCGGAAGAACACCAGUGGCGAAGGCGGCUUACUGGCUCAUACUGGACGCUGAGGUGCGAAAGCGUGGGGAGCAAACAGGAUUAGAUACCCCGGUAGUCCCUGUCUCUUAUAC
Molecule: ribosomal RNA, 301 nt
Filed under: uncultured bacterium
Lineage: Bacteria
Description: partial 16S ribosomal RNA
Rfam family: Bacterial small subunit ribosomal RNA
Source: RNAcentral